GUGCUUGCUUCGGAAGCACAUAUACUAAAAUUGGAACUAUACAGAGAUUAGCAUGGCCCCUGCGCAAGGAUGACAUGCAAAUUCGUGAAGUGUUCCAUAUUUUU
This is a small nuclear RNA of Erinaceus europaeus (western European hedgehog), 104 nucleotides long. NCBI's taxonomy places the organism in Eukaryota, Metazoa, Chordata, Mammalia, Eulipotyphla, Erinaceidae. The record is from Ensembl.